GGCCGCAAGGUCCGGGAGUUCGUGCUUGAGUGUGUGUGGCUCAGCGUGUGUGAGGAACGCAGUGGAGCCGGGCGGCUUGCUGGCGCUGGCAGCCUUGGUGGAGUUUUAUAGUGUCCUGUCUCAUGACCUCAAGAAGGUUUCAUGCCAAGGGCACCUCCCGGGAUUGUAGCUGCUAGUGCCCCCAUCCCACAGCGAGCCACUGCCAACCCACGCCUCCGCAGGAGACCCUCCAGCACUAGCAGAUUCCACAAUUCCUUGGUCCUGGAGAUUCUUUCUAAGUCUGAUCCUGCUGGACAGGCAAGAUGGCAGAAUCAGACCACCUGCUGUGGUAUCUAGAAAAGCUUAAUAAAAAGGAAUUUAUGAGAUGGAAGAUCCACCUUGAACAAAAACAUGUGGAGCUUGGACUGCCAGAGAUCCCAACUUUUGAUCUAAGGACAACCAAAGAAGACCUGGUCAACCUGUUGAUGACCUCUUACAAGGCACAGCAUGUCUGGAACAUGAUGUUCAGCAUCUUUGAAAAUCUUCUUCAUAGAGCUCUCUGUGAGAAGAUCAACACUGGGCGAAACUUGAAAAUCUGGACCUGCAAUAUCAUCUGACGUGGAGAGUCCUGAGAGCUUGACUUCCAUCAGUUGAACGUAACUGGGGAGGAGUUGUUUUUCUUCUUUAUGAUUCCCUUUGGUCUCCCCUCAUCAGAGGCUCUGGUUAGGACAGGUGUGGGCACUGCCUGUCCAGAGGGCCACUCAGCUUUACCCAGCAGUGUCAGGCGUGAGUUCUGUUCGCCCUGAGGCUGGUUGCUCCAGGAGGUGCUGGCUUCCUCUCCCUCCUGGAGACACACAUGAUUUCCUUGAAACACAGACCACACAUUUCUCAUCUGUUAUUAAGGCAGAAUCCUGAGCAGAGAACAGUCCUGAGGUUUGUACGUGCUGCAUGAGAGGCACAUAAAUUCUUCUGAUGCCAAGAGUGAACUCCUCUUUCCCUUUUCUCUUUCCCCUCUUUUAUUAUGUAAUUGAUCAGCAGCAUUGAUCAGAAAAAAUAUGCCUUGUUGACCAUAUUCUUGGUUGAAGAUCAAGGGUGUUGAUUUUCUGUCCAUCAGUACCUGCAGCAGGUGCUAACUGGAUGGGGCAAACCUGUUCAAUGUGCCACCGGGUGGGCCCCGGACAGCCACACCCUUGAAUGGUGUCCAGCCUCCUCUUCCCCUCCAGCACGCGUUUCUCUUCUCAGCCUGGAUUUUGUCACUAUUGUGAGAAAAUUUUCCUUUGAAAGAUAACUGUGUCAAGGCUUCUAGGGUUUUAGUUUUGAGUGUUGAUGUAUUCCCCUUUUUAAUGUCGUUCUUUGUGUGUGUUUGGUCUUGGAGAUGGGCCUGUGUUACUUUCACUGUGGUAAGCAGUGCUUGUUAUGGUGUGGGGGGAGGUCCAGCAUUUGUGGACAGCUGGCUGGGAAGUGCGUGAGGAGGCCCUGGCUCUGGGAUCUGGGAAUCCCAAGUCAGCCCCUGCUGUGGAGUGACUGAGCUGCCCUGUGACCGAGGGGCACUCUAGACGGCGGCCCAGUUGACUGGGAGAGUCUAGUCCAACCUGGCCUUUGCUCUGGUAGCUUUUCUAGGUCCCGGUUUUUAUUGAGGUUUCUCAGACACUUAACUGAGUAGGCUCCUUUCCCAUGACAUCUCCCCUCUUUCCUGCUUUUGCCUGAUGUUGCAUUAUAAUGGCGCACUGUCUUAUGACUCUUGGGGAUUGGGCGUCUUCAUCUGUCCUUCUUGCAACUACUUCAGUUCAGUCCAGUUCAGUCACUCAGUCGUCUCUGACUCUUUGUGACGAAUAAUGAGUUUUUUGUUUUUUUUUAGUGAGACCAAAAAGUUGGGAAUGUCUUCAGAUGAUUGACUGAUCUGACCAUCAGCGUACACGGAAGUGUUGAGAGAAGGAGUGAGGACUGUUCCUGCUCCCUUGAGAUUUUACAAAUGGAAUCACCAGUCACCUAAUGUACAUUAUGUUGCUGUUCCCCACCCACUGACAGGUGGUGUUCAAGGUUCCCUGGGCUUGAGGGGUCCAUAAGUGCUGUAGAUUGAAUCAGUGUUGAGAGUGUGUCCUGGGACCUCUUGGGGGCCAGGACCUCGGGUUGCCUGCUGUGGACUGAAUUCCCCACCCCUCGCCCCCAUUCCUCUGUCAAAGCCCUAAUCCCCUGGGGUUAGUGCCCUUAUGAGGAAAGACCCCAGAGAGCUGGCUUCCUCUCUUGUCACCACUUGAGGACACACAAGGCUGCUAUCUCCACACCAGGAAGAGAGUCCUCACCAGACUUCUAGCCUCCAGAACUGUGAGAAGAUUUCUGUUGAGCCCCCCAGUCUAAGGUAUUCUGUAUGGCAGCCCAGGGAGGUUCGGACUACCGUGUCUGCAGAGGAACACGGUGAUUUGGUCAGUAGGCUGUCUAUUUUGGGGGCUGGGUGAGUUUGGUUAACCCCUCUAGGUAUGUGUACUGGGGACUUCUGUGGGCUCACAGUCACAGUCACAGGCACUUUUCUUACUUCUGGUUGGACAUACCAAGUUUCCUCCCCGCUCUGCCCUGUAGACUGUUACUAGACCCUGCUAAGAAAAAAGAUCCAAGGAAUUCAACUAUUUUCUUGAGAUUUCUGUAUAUCUUGGAAAAAACAACAACAGCAACAACCCAGUCAAUCAAUGACCAUUUAUCAAAGCGCCUUCCUGUGCUCUUAGCGAGACUCUUUUAUGGCCGAAGACAUAUGUAAUUUUCAGCUCAAGAACCAGCAGGGUAAAACCUGGAAUUCCAGAUCUCUUAUCAGGAGUUGUAACAAGUCUGAGAUUGUACCCUGCUUGCAAGUUAACUGGUGAGCCUGCUGCAGCAUUACGGUUGCUGGCAUGAGACGCAGGCGUCCUGGCUCCGUGGAAGGACUUUGUUCUCAUAGCAGUCUCGUGUCCAGAGAACGAGCAUUUUCUUGGACAGGUUCAGUGUGCAUGGCCGGGGACACCAUGUAGCCGGCUGUGUUACAGGAGAGGAGCCAUCAGGGUGCCUGAAUUUUACAACGAGCAGUCAGAGAGCAAGUCUGUCUCUGCCUUCCAAGGCUGUUCACUAUAUGAACAUCCUUGAAACAAAGUCCAGAGCAAAGGCCGACAGUGCCUCUGCUUACCAGGUGUGCAGAAAUGUGAGAGGCCCAUGAGGAACUCCUGCGUCUUUCCCCAGGGCUCUGCGUUGACCCCUUGGUGGAGUGGCAGGUGGUGGUGGGUUAAGUCCUUGUUGAUGGACCAUUUGAAGCCUGGGACUCGACAGGGAUGGUUGGGUAGACACAUGCUGCUGAUCUGUGCUGCACUGAGGGCACUUCCUGGGGUAUCAAGGUUGCCUGCUGGACAUUUUCUUGAAGUUGAUUGCAUUGACUUGUGGAUUCAUGUCUCAUUUUGAGUUAUGGGAGGGGAUUGCUAGGAGAGGGAAACACUCUGCUCACAAGGUUUCUCCCCUACAGAAAGAAAUUUAAGUUAAUCUAGUACAUGUUUAUUGGGCAUUAACAGCACACAGGGAAACUGGGGACAUAGAGGGGCAGAGGGCAUUGAUGACAUCCUGGGUCCACGCCCUCUGGAAGCAUUCAUCUGACAGGGAGGGGUCGUGGCACUGAGGGAGGGCAAGCCCUGCAAACGUGAGAUGGGUAGCUAGGAGACAAGACUUGUGUGCCUACAGCUGGGGUAUAUUACUUAAUGUUGAAUAACAAAGUACCCAAGAUUAGUGGCUUAAAAGAACAUUUAUGACCUUGGUUUCUGUGGGUCAGGAAUUUGGUGGUGGCUUAACUGAGGAGCUCUAGCUCAUGGUUUUUCAUCUUCGAGUCCAGAUGUCAGCCAGGGCUUUGAUCAUCUGAAGGCUUGGCUCGGGUUGGAGGAUCUGCUCCCAGGGGAACAGAUCCCAGGAGGAUCUGCUCACAUGGAUGUGGGUGGGGGAUCCUGGUUCCUUGCCAAGUGUGCCUUUCUACUCACUGUUUGUGUCUUUUCACAAAAUGGCAGCUGACUUCUCCCAGAGUGAAUGAUCCAAGAGAGCUGCACAUCAGAGGCUGAAGUAUCUUAUGACCUGCCCUCCAAAGACAUCAUCAUUUCUGCAAUGUUCUGAUUGCACAAGCCAGUACUGCUCAACACCAGGAAACGGAGAUCCCUGGCGACAGUUGGGGAGGCUGGCUACCACAGGGCCGGCAGAGGGACUGCUAGCAGAGGGCCUGGGACUGGAGAACAGAGCCCUCAAUUUCCCUACUUUUUCUUUUAUUUCUUUUAAUUUUAAAGAUAAAAUAUGCAUAACAUAUUUCUUUAAGAAAAUUAGAGAUACCAAGGGUACAUUUCAUGCAAAGAUAGGCACAAUAAAGAGCAAAAACAGCAAGGAGCUAGCAGGAGCAGAAGAGAUUAAGAAGAAGUGGCAAGAAUACACAGAAGAACUGUACAGAAAAGCUCUUAAUG
Molecule: long non-coding RNA, 4430 nt
Organism: Odocoileus virginianus texanus
Lineage: Eukaryota; Metazoa; Chordata; Mammalia; Artiodactyla; Cervidae
Source: RefSeq, a predicted model, not a curated record